GACGUAGGGGGCCAGCGUUGUUCGGAAUUACUGGGUGUAAAGGGUUCGUAGGCGGUGCGGCAAGUCGGGAGUGAAAUCUCUGGGCUUAACCCAGAGGCUGCUUCCGAAACUGCUGUGCUUGAGUGUGGGAGAGGCGCGUGGAAUUGCAGGUGUAGCGGUGAAAUGCGCAGAUAUCAGGAAGAACACCUAUGGCGAAAGCAGCUCUCUGGGACGGUACUGACGCUGAGACGCGAAAGCGUGGGGAGCGAACAGG
Molecule: ribosomal RNA, 253 nt
Filed under: uncultured bacterium
Lineage: Bacteria
Description: partial 16S ribosomal RNA
Rfam family: Bacterial small subunit ribosomal RNA
Source: RNAcentral